CCUACGGGAGGCAGCAGUGGGGAAUAUUGGGCAAUGGGCGCAAGCCUGACCCAGCAACGCCGCGUGAAGGAAGAAGGCUUUCGGGUUGUAAACUUCUUUUCUCAGGGACGAAGCAAGUGACGGUACCUGAGGAAUAAGCAACGGCUAACUAAGUGCCAGCAGCUGAGGUAAUACGUAGGUGUACAGCGUUAUCCGGAUUUACUGGGUGUAAAGGGCGUGUAGGCGGGACUGCAAGUCAGAUGUGAAAACCACGGGCUCAACCUGUGGCCUGCAGUUGAAACUGUAGUUCUUGAGUACUGGAGAGGCAGACGGAAUGCCUAGUGUAGCGGUGAAAUGCGUAGAUAUUAGGAGGAACACCAGUGGCGAAGGCGGUCUGCUGGACAGCAACUGACGCUGAGGCGCGAAAGCGUGGGGAGCAAACAGGAUUAGAUACCCGAGUAGUC
RNAcentral lists this ribosomal RNA (443 nucleotides) under uncultured bacterium. RNAcentral describes it as "partial 16S ribosomal RNA". It matches the Rfam family "Bacterial small subunit ribosomal RNA", at positions 338 to 795 of the family's 1533-position model. The record is from RNAcentral.